AUUGAACGCUGGCGGCAUGCCUUACACAUGCAAGUCGAACGGCAGCGCGGGAGCAAUCCUGGCGGCGAGUGGCGAACGGGUGAGUAAUAUAUCGGAACGUGCCCUGUAGCGGGGGAUAGCCCGGCGAAAGCCGGAUUAAUACCGCAUACGCUCUACGGAGGAAAGCGGGGGUCGCAAGACCUCGCACUAUAGGAGCGGCCGAUAUCGGAUUAGCUAGUUGGCGGGGAAAAGCCCACCAAGGCUACGAUCCGUAGCUGGUCUGAGAGGAUGAUCAGCCACACUGGAACUGAGACACGGUCCAGACUCCUACGGGAGGCAGCAGUGGGGAAUUUUGGACAAUGGGCGCAAGCCUGAUCCAGCCAUGCCGCGUGAGUGAAGAAGGCCUUCGGUUGUAAG
This 396-nucleotide ribosomal RNA is filed under the name uncultured bacterium. Its description in RNAcentral is "bacterial SSU rRNA". It matches the Rfam family "Bacterial small subunit ribosomal RNA", at positions 29 to 429 of the family's 1533-position model. The record is from RNAcentral.